Molecule: ribosomal RNA, 278 nt
Filed under: Blautia luti
Lineage: Bacteria; Bacillati; Bacillota; Clostridia; Lachnospirales; Lachnospiraceae
Description: partial 16S ribosomal RNA
Rfam family: Bacterial small subunit ribosomal RNA
Source: RNAcentral
UAUGGUAAUUGUGCAGCCGCGGUAAUACGUAGGGGGCAAGCGUUAUCCGGAUUUACUGGGUGUAAAGGGAGCGUAGACGGAUGGACAAGUCUGAUGUGAAAGGCUGGGGCUCAACCCCGGGACUGCAUUGGAAACUGCCCGUCUUGAGUGCCGGAGAGGUAAGCGGAAUUCCUAGUGUAGCGGUGAAAUGCGUAGAUAUUAGGAGGAACACCAGUGGCGAAGGCGGCUUACUGGACGGUAACUGACGUUGAGGCUCGAAAGCGUGGGGAGCAAACAGG